GCGUCCUUAGCGCAAUAGGCAGCGCGUCAGUCUCAUAAUCAAAUCUAGAAAUCUGAAGGUCGUGAGUUCAAUCCUCACACGGGGCA
This is a non-coding RNA of Nematostella vectensis (starlet sea anemone), 86 nucleotides long. NCBI's taxonomy places the organism in Eukaryota, Metazoa, Cnidaria, Anthozoa, Actiniaria, Edwardsiidae. The record is from Rfam.